GAAAGAUGGUGAACUAUGCCUGAGGAGGGUGAAGCCAGAGGAAACUCUGGUGGAGGCUCGCAGCGGUUCUGACGUGCAAAUCGAUCGUCAAAUUUGGGCAUAGGGGCGAAAGACUAAUCGAACUAUCUAGUAGCUGGUUCCUGCCGAAGUUUCCCUCAGGAUAGCAGUAACGUAUUCAGUUUUAUGAGGUAAAGCGAAUGAUUAGAGGCAUGGGGGUUGAAACAACCUUCACCUAUUCUCAAACUUUAAAUAUGUAAGAAGCCCUUUGUUACUUGAUUGAACGCGGGCAUUUGAAUGAAACGUUAUUAGUGGGCCAUUUUUGGUAAGCAGA
RNAcentral lists this ribosomal RNA (331 nucleotides) under Skeletonema marinoi. RNAcentral describes it as "partial Eukaryotic large subunit ribosomal RNA". It matches the Rfam family "Eukaryotic large subunit ribosomal RNA", at positions 818 to 1148 of the family's 3401-position model. The record is from RNAcentral. Lineage: Eukaryota; Bacillariophyta; Thalassiosirophyceae; Thalassiosirales; Thalassiosiraceae.